Molecule: non-coding RNA, 118 nt
Filed under: Brachybacterium muris
Lineage: Bacteria; Bacillati; Actinomycetota; Actinomycetes; Micrococcales; Dermabacteraceae
Also listed under: 1 other name
Description: FMN sequence
Rfam family: FMN riboswitch aptamer (RFN element)
About the family: The RFN element is a highly conserved domain that is found frequently in the 5'-untranslated regions of prokaryotic mRNAs that encode for flavin mononucleotide (FMN) biosynthesis and transport proteins. This element is a metabolite-dependent riboswitch that directly binds FMN in the absence of proteins.
Source: RNAcentral
GACGUGCUCCGGGGUCGGUGAAAGUCCGAGCCGGCGGUGAUAGUCCGCGACCCGCUUCGGCGGUGGAGCCGGUGGAACUCCGGCACCGACAGUAAAGCCUGGAUGAGAGGCGCACGUC